Molecule: transfer RNA, 73 nt
Filed under: Planctomycetota bacterium
Lineage: Bacteria; Pseudomonadati; Planctomycetota
Also listed under: 1 other name
Description: tRNA-Ala
Rfam family: tRNA
About the family: Transfer RNA (tRNA) molecules are approximately 80 nucleotides in length.
Source: RNAcentral
GGGGCGUUAGCUCAGUUGGGAGAGCGGCUGCUUUGCAAGCAGCAGGUCACCGGUUCGAGACCGGUACGCUCCA